Molecule: long non-coding RNA, 403 nt
Organism: Rhineura floridana
Lineage: Eukaryota; Metazoa; Chordata; Lepidosauria; Squamata; Rhineuridae
Exons: 3
Source: RefSeq, a predicted model, not a curated record
CCUGCCUCGUGUAGCAAGUGCCUCGGAGGGUCGCCCUCCACUGCAACUGCCUGGAUCAGUCUGCGGAUCUGGCGCCCUCUGCUGCAGAGGCUGGGCACAGAUAGGGAACCUGUGGCCCUCCAGACACUGUUGGACUCUCAGCACCCAUCAACCCCAGCCAACAUGGCCAAUAGUCAGUAUGAGGAUUAACAGCAAGACAACAAAAAAGGAGUCUGCAAGCACUUAGGAUUGCUGAGACACAUACUAUGAGCCCGGAAGGAUAAAUACCAACUGUCUAUUAUGCAAUUGACUGAGGACCUCACAACCCUGGCUACAUUUGAACGUAUUUCAUAUAGAUGUCAAUUUUGCAUGGAUAUCUAUUUGGACACCUAGAAGGCCUAUAUUAACAUACAUGUUUAACUUA